This 72-nucleotide transfer RNA is filed under the name Marmota monax (woodchuck). It matches the Rfam family "tRNA". From Rfam's summary of the family: Transfer RNA (tRNA) molecules are approximately 80 nucleotides in length. Their secondary structure includes four short double-helical elements and three loops (D, anti-codon, and T loops). The record is from Rfam by way of RNAcentral. Lineage: Eukaryota; Metazoa; Chordata; Mammalia; Rodentia; Sciuridae.
UGCAGGGUAGCUCAGUGAUAGAGCACUUGCCUAGCAAGUACGAGACCCUGGGUUUGAUCCCUAGCACUGCAA